Mus musculus (house mouse) is the source of this 4941-nucleotide long non-coding RNA. RefSeq annotates it as predicted gene, 46122. The transcript is spliced from 2 exons. The record is from RefSeq and is a predicted model, not a curated record. NCBI's taxonomy places the organism in Eukaryota, Metazoa, Chordata, Mammalia, Rodentia, Muridae.
CUUAGCAACCGAACUCCUGCCUUGUGCACUGUGCAUGUUAACUAAAACAGCCUGUUGACGGCUUAAAAUAAACCUGCCUUUUUCCAUUUAGCAUUUUAUCAAAUGAAUGUAAUUUUGUUUGCUGAUGAAUUUAGUUCAGCUUCAAGGAGAUUUUUCUCUUCUUCCUGGGGAGGCUGGAGAAUCAGAAUUGUCAUGCCAAAGGAUGAAAAACAAGCCUAGGGAGAAAAGACAGGCUGAUGUGGAUGUGGGUAAUUAUUGCAGCCUGAUUAUAAAACUUGGGAUUCGGUGCCUAUGGUGAGUCUAAAUAUGGAUUAAGCCAUUAAGAAUCCCCCGCUUGUAAUAUACUACUACUUUAUAUAAAGAAUGACCCCAAUCAUAGAUUCUUACAGGUAUUUAGACGAGAAUUUAAGACUACAGGGAAAAGCAGUGACUUUGUCCCACCACAAACAAAUCAAUCUGUGAUUUGUGAAUUGAGACUUCCCCAGAGAGAUUUAGGCAAUUAAGAAUUGGAAGCCCUUAAUUAGAGGGGAAAAGACUUUCAGCUAUGGUGGAUGGAGAAAUGGGUGAGUUCCAGAAGGGUGCUCGGUGCUUCAAGAGUGGGGUACUUGAAACAAUGUAACUUCUAAAGCAGUGUGGAACAGCUUAUUACGAAACUUUAAUCAUAACCACAGCUUCCUGGAGUUUGCUCCUCUUGUACUCUGAUCUCAGUGGCUGGUUUCUUUGGCUGUGGUUUUGAUGGAGUCUUUGAGUAAAUGGCCCCCUCUUUCCCCCAGUGGCACUAAACGGGGCAUUGCAGACACAACACCUUCCAGACCUUACACUGGGUUUUGCCAUAAGGAUAGCUUUUGUAAUCCACCAUAAGCAAAGGAAAAUGACUUCUACACGCCUCUGCAAGAAUUCAUUCCACAUGAGCUCUCCCAUGUUGACUGAGGGGUUUUAUGACACACUUUUCUAUAUAGAAUGGCCUCUAAAUCCCAAAUCCUUCCUGUUUUUAAACAUUGGAGUUUGAAUUUUUCCAAACAACUAUCCAAAUUUUAACCUCCAGUUUAAUUUUUUUAAAUGUCACUGUGAGUUCCUUGAUUGCACUAUAAGUCUACAGGUACUGAACACGGUAUGAACACAAGGCCCUCAAUCAAGACGGGGUCACCGUGAAGCAGGUAUAAUUUGUGGUUUGGAAUUUAGCAAGCAAAUAAAUAAGAAAAAACGGGAAAGUAAGACAACACUAGGUAUUUCAAUGUGAAGACUUCAAAUUAAAGACUGUACUUGGCAUACUCGUGAUGUAUUUAAUUAUAAAUAUAAACCCAAAAGUAAAGCUGAAUGAGUGUGUCUGGAAGAGUUAAUUUGUGGCAAAGCAAAAAUUAACAUUUUUUCCAAAGUAAUCCAGAAAAUAGAAUAAAUCUAAAUAUCCUAGGCUAAAAGCAAAAUUCUCUGUGGUCUACCGGAAGAUAAAGGUGAGCUGAUAUUUCCAGCGUAUGUAUCAUGUUUCCAGCCUUUCUCUACCCCCUGGAUGCCUCUCCAAUAGCUUUCUAAAGUGAUCAAGAACUGCUACAGGCUUGCCUAAGUUUAUUUCCCUGACAUUCUUAUUUUAUGUGUUACACUGCAGGCAUCUUGCCUACUUUCUUGCCUACAGGGAAUAAUUUUUAUCUAAGUGUUAACAUUAGUGACUUGAGCAUAGUAUUUCCUGAAUAUUUUUAUCCCCCUAUUUUAAAAGGUCAUCCAUUACCUUGAUGCUGUUUCCUGAACUGGUGUUUUUCAUGCUGUUUGCAAUAAUUUUCAGAAGGCAAAAAUCUUAAAGGCAUACAAGGAUGCUUCCUUGAAACAGAAUUUUCAAAGAGCUGUUUCUUGGAGCUGUUGCUGGGGGUUUAAAACGAGAAUGUUCUACCCGGGAAAGCCUGCGAUGUGUGAAUAGGACAUAUUUUACCACUGUGGGUAUGUUCAAAUUUCCCCCAAAUAUUUUUGUCUUCUUUUCAUUCCUUUUCUUACAUUUCAUAAGAAAUUAUUUAUGUACUCCGAUUUUUUAUUUUUUUAUUGUUCCUUGCUGUCAGCGCACAUAAAUAUAUGAUUUCAGGAUGCUUUCUGGUUGGACUCCUGAGAGAUUGCAACAUCAAACAGGUUUAUUUAGGCCUGUGCUAAGCAGAACCGCAGGAAGCUAGCAAAGGCUGUUAGCAGAAGCCAAGAGGAAAUCUUUAAAAACGUGAUGAGCUAUGUCACACUCACAGAGGACACAAAGAAAUUGCAUUUUUUGCACCUCCACAGAUAGCCUCAGUAGGUAGCAGGAUGCUGGGAAGCCAAGUACUUAAGGAGGAUCCAUGCCGCAGCACAGAGGGAGAGAGAUGCCUGGGCUGCCCAGCCCGCAUCACCAAUGACAGAGUAGGAACACCGCCCCCAGCCUCAAGCUGUUCCUGCAGCUUGGGAACUCCGCAAAGCUAGCUGUGGGGAAGAGGUGUGUGUGUGUGUGUGUGUGUGUGUGUGUGUGUGUGUGUGUGUGUGUGUGUGUGUGUGUGUGUUUAAACUGAAGAGAGAUGCCACCCUUUAGUUCAUGGGUAUUGUAGUUAUUAGAUCCAAAGACAAACUCAGCUGCUAUUUUUAAAAAAGGAAGAAGAAAGAAAGAAAGGAAGGAAAAAAGAAAGAAAAGAAAAGAAAAAGAGAAUUGCUUCAGGGUUAGUCCUUCCCCCUGAUAGCUGUUCACACUGAUUUGCUGCAUAGAUUGAUUGCUUUUGGCAUUUGCACCCUUCCUGAACAACGGGGAAAGAAAAUCCAGUGUCUGGGCCAAAUUCAAGAAUGAUGAAUGAAUGUGGAAGACACAUUCGGUGUCAUGCUGAGUUGCGAUGGAUAACAGCACUUAAAAGUAGUAACAGCUGGAUUUUAGUUUUUAAAAUUAGGACUGUGUUAUUAAUGGGGGAAUUGGGAUGCAGGGAGUCUGCAAGGCAGAUUAAACGCUUAUCUGAAAUGAACGGGCUUUAUGCUCUGUCUUGGGAGGGUGGCAGGCAGGUGGAUGUGAGGGGAGGCUCUGGCCCUACCCGAGGACUUUUACUGAACCAAACCACGGCUCUCUGCUGUAUCCCACCACUGGGGCAUGCUAACUGGAGCAGCAUAAAAUGGCUUUUGUAUUUAUUGUGGGGAUUUUGAAAGUGUAUUGUCUAAUAAAUCUCACACUGUCUUCAUGAAGAUAUCAAGGAGAUAUUCCACACAGACUUUAGGGACAGGGAAAGCUAUGUUCUCCAGAGAACUGAUGCUAUUUCUCCUUUAUAGACACUGAAUCUUGUGACUGGCAGGGUUUUCUGCUGGCUGAGCCCUAGUGAAGCAAUUGGUUGAAUGUAAAGUCAGACUAAGACCUCCAGGGGAUAUUGGUACUUAAUGCUUUUGUCGAUGGCUUAAUUUGCUGUCUUAUUUUUACUUCAAGUUUAGUUUUACGUCUUUUUUAUCUUUUAAUAAGUAUUUUAUUUUAUAUGGAUAUAGAUACUAAAUUUAUCUACUUUUAGUAUGAUAUGUAUAUGGGUGCUAUCAAAAUAGGAACUAUUUUCUUUUGGGGGAGGGGCAGAAUCUUGGGAUCUUAUUUAUUCCAAGCUAGUCUCAAAUUCUAUAUAUAUAAGUAGCUGAGGAUAACCUGGAUCUCAUGAGUGCCCUACCUCAUAUAUUUUCUUUUAAAUAGUGAAUUGUUAUUUAGAAAUAUACUAAUGUAGUAGAGUAAUUAUUAGGCAAACUUUAUUGAUUUUAAAGAGAUGCACAUAGAAGCACAGAUGGAAAUAUAAUGACACGGGGCUGUGGUCUGCGUUUAAAUAUCUCUUGAACAACAAGAAAGACAGGUGAAAAUGGGAAGAUUUAGGGGACUGGGAAAAUCUCAGUGGGUUUCACUUUACCAUUUCACUAACUUCUGCAUGCAUUAGAAUUUUAAUUAGUGUCUGUCUCUCUUCUUGACUUCCACAGGAGGACACAAAACUCAUUCUUAACUUGACAAUUCAAUUUCCGUCAGAAAAUACGUUAUUUGUUAGUUGCUCAUCUAUUGUUCUGAAAGUGGCUUGGCUGUUUGAUUUUCCUCCCCUUUCCUUCUUAGUUGCCAUGUUAGGUCAUAAACUCUAGGACAGACUGGGAGCAGCAAGUCUGCAAUGGGAGGCUGAGCAAGGUGUGCAAGGUGCGAGCAGAGGGGCCCAUGGAUGUGACUCUCCUCUGCUGCCCGUCACCUCUGGACUUCUAUUGCUCUCCACCAGAGCCAGACUCCGGAAUUCAGGCCUGAGCGCCUCACACUCGCACAUUUUCAUGUACACACACACACUCACACAAACAAAUUUUAUUUUAUAUAACUAUAUAAUAUGUAAUUUUGUUUUGUAUAUGUGUGUGUGUAUGUAUAUGUAUAUGUAAUUACACUUUUACAAAUGCCGUUGAUACUCCUGAGUUCGAUUAUAUAUGCAUUAUAAUAUAUAUAUAUGUAUAUACAUAUAUACAUAUAUAUAUAUUAUAAUUACACUUUUACAAAUGCCGUUGAUACUCCUGAGUUCGAUUACUCUCGGACUCCAUGUGUUUCUAGUAAUUUUGCUUGCCAAGACUUAUGAUUUGAACAGAGUUUGAGUACUAAAAAAAGAGCGAAUUGAUAAAAUUAUAGAGUUUGAAAAGUCUGUUGUGGCUACUAAGCUGUCUGCCAUGAGAAACGGUUUCAGAGAGUAUUGUCUGACAACUGGUGGAAACAAAGUAGUAAAAUAACAUCUGCUCUCUCCCCAUCUCACACUGAUUCGGCGGCUGGAGAAGGGUGGGAGUGGUGUGUGCGCCCUGGCCCGUGUUUUAUGCCUGGAGGAGCACCAGGGGCCUCAUGUCUCCAAGUGAUGCCAUGAAACACUCAAGCUUUAUUCUUCUGGUCCUGGCACUUUACUCCAGCACACCAGGUGGUCAAGAAGUAUCUGCAAUGAAACUAAAUAAAAAAUAAACUAGAACAUUUUUUUUUCAAAA